ACGUAGGUGGCGAGCGUUGUCCGGAAUUACUGGGCGUAAAGGGCGCGUAGGCGGAUUGUUAAGUUGGAUGUGAAAUCUCCUGGCUCAACUGGGAGGGGACAUCCAAAACUGGCAAUCUAGAGUGCAGGAGAGGAAAGUAGAAUUCCCAGUGUAGCGGUGAAAUGCGUAGAUAUUGGGAGGAAUACCGGUGGCGAAGGCGGCUUUCUGGACUGUAACUGACGCUGAGGCGCGAAAGCUGGGGGAGCGAACAG
This 251-nucleotide ribosomal RNA is filed under the name uncultured bacterium. RNAcentral describes it as "partial 16S ribosomal RNA". It matches the Rfam family "Bacterial small subunit ribosomal RNA", at positions 525 to 775 of the family's 1533-position model. The record is from RNAcentral.